Molecule: ribosomal RNA, 460 nt
Filed under: uncultured bacterium
Lineage: Bacteria
Description: bacterial SSU rRNA
Rfam family: Bacterial small subunit ribosomal RNA
Source: RNAcentral
AACGAACGCUGGCGGCAUGCCUAACACAUGCAAGUCGAACGGGAUCCAGGCUUCGGCCUGGUGAGAGUGGCGGACGGGUGAGUAACGCGUGGGAACCUGCCCAAUGGUCUGGGAUAACCGCGGGAAACUGCGGCUAAUACCGGAUAAGCCCGAGAGGGGAAAGAUUUAUCGCCGAUGGAGGGGCCCGCGUCAGAUUAGGUAGUUGGUGGGGUAAUGGCCUACCCAGCCUACGAUCUGUAGCNGGUCUGAGAGGAUGAUCAGCCACACUGGGACUGAGAUACGGCCCAGACUCCUACGGGAGGCAGCAGUGGGGAAUAUUGGACAAUGGGGGCAACCCUGAUCCAGCAAUGCCGCGUGAGUGAUGAAGGCCUUAGGGUUGUAAAGCUCUUUUGCCAGGGACGAUGAUGACGGUACCUGGAGAAUAAGCCCCGGCUAACUUCGUGCCAGCCGCCGCAGUAAU